GUUUCCACUUUAAUGCAGAGUUCCCUUUCCUGGGUGCCACCUCUCACCCAGGCCCAGUAUGACACACAUGCAGGCCUCAAAAGGUAGGUCUUGGGGUCUUCCUAUUUAGUAAAUGAAGAAACUCAGGAGCAGAGAGACUAAACAAUCUGUCUGAAGGGUUAGCAUGUAUAAAAGUUUGGGAAGGAAGCCUGUCUUUCUGGUUUCAAAGCAGGCUUUUUCCUCCCUCCAUUGUGCUAUCUUGAAAGGACAGAAACACAUCCCAGAUUGUCCAAUGAUCAUUUAUAGAGCUUGCUGAAAUCCUAAUAUUGUGUCUAUGAUUCUUUUCCACCAUGCUUUGUUUGGAGGCGAAGGCUGCUUUGAGCAGUGGCCACAGAGUGAGGUUAAGCAGAACAACAUCCUGAGCUCUGUCCCUCCUCUAGGCCUGGGCUGGGUGCUGUCUCUGCUGCUAUCAAUGGGUCUACCCCAUGCCAGCUUCAGGGAUGUGGAGACAAGGCUCAAGAGGAAGAGGCAUUACUUUAAAGUUUUGACCACAGAUCAGCUGCUCUUAACUGGUACACUUCACAGACCCUUGGGUGCUUCUCCCUGCCAAGUGCUUCUCUUCCUGUCUUCACUGAAAGACAGGGCAAUUCUCUUUCCUCUGCCCUAUGGACUGAUUUCACCUGAUCCAAACGUGUCAGCCAUCCGACUCUGGUGAGUGUUGGGGAUAAAUCUGCUCUUAGUCCAUCCAGCCAUUUGCAAAUACUGUGGCAAUAAUCUGACCAAAUUUCUCAGAGGAGAUAAAUUUUACAUGGUGGUUCUUUGAGUCUCACUUCUGUGGGUAGGGCCUCCAGUAGAACAUCUGUAGACUUUCAGGCAUGUUCAUAUUAUUAUGGCUAAAAGUGAAGUGUGGGUGUGCGGGUCUCUUCCCUACCUAUGGCAGCUCCUAUGUCCCUGAGUGAUUUCCAGUUUGGGGUGGUUAUGAGUAGAAAAUGUUGGGAGGCCUUUGGCUUUCAGAAGCGUAUUUUUAAAAAAGGUUUUAAUUUAUUUACUCAUGAGAGACACACACAGAGGGGCAGAGACAUAGGCAGAUGGAGAAGCAGGCUCCCUUUAGGGAGCCUGAUGUGGAACUUGAUCCCAGGGCCACAGGAUCAUGACCUGAGCCAAAGGCAGAAGCUCAACCACUGAGCCACCCAGGUGGUGCCCCAGCUUUCAGUGUAUUAUUCAAGUUAUACCACACAUUUAAUUUGAAAAAAUUAAUUUUUCCACAAAUGCAUUAUUUUGAAAAGUAACUUGAUGUAGUAGGCUUCCACAGGAAGUGGUCUCCCUCGUAUAGGACUGUAUCCUGUGGUGUUGCUGGGAAGAGAGGGGGGCUGUAGUUAGUAGCACGGUUGGUGAUGGUGAGACAAAUGGUUCACCCUGACGAUUUCCUCUACAAUCCCCUUAGAGAGAUGUGGGCCAGCCCUAUAACUUACCAGGAGUGAUCCAUCAUGGCAGUGGAUGGGUUUCAGGCUACAACACGGUCUAGACAGAGAGAAGGAAGGCCAAUGAGAGGGAAGCAGAUUUUCUCCUGGAUAAAGGCAGAAAAACAGAUGUUAAUGAUUAGCUUUACUGUGGGUUCUGUGUCCCUGGGUGUGUGUGAGAAGUCCAUGUAGAGUUUUUGAGGCCUCUCUGGUUUUGCCCCAGAGGGAAAGAAAAAGGCCUUUUUCUGGUGAGGU
Vulpes vulpes (red fox) is the source of this 1694-nucleotide long non-coding RNA. NCBI's taxonomy places the organism in Eukaryota, Metazoa, Chordata, Mammalia, Carnivora, Canidae. The record is from Ensembl.